UCUGUGUUAAGUACAAAUGCCAUCUUCUAUAAAGAUGGAUUCUAUAGAUUAACUGAGAAAACAAGUUUGAGAUAAGGGUCUGGGUGAGGAGCUGGUGUAUUCUCUGCCACAUAGGUAGCCCAAAGGUCACCAGGCUAUUAAUGACAUCCAUUCCCACCUUUCUGGGCAGAAAACUAGUUAUAGCCUGUUUUAAGGUCAAUAGAAGUCCAUAGCGGCCGGGAGAAUCCUGAUCUUCCAGCUCAAUUGAAGGUUUGCUGUGGCUCCUGUCAGGAGUGCUCCCCAAUAUGAUGCCAACACUUCCAGGCCAGCAAAACUUAAGGUUGUGGGAACAGGAAGGAAAAGUUUUCCUAGGGAGUCACUAGGGUGUAAUGAGUACAUAUUGCCUUUUCCAUCCUGCCUUGACUCCUGGACCCAUGGAUCCUGGCUAUGGGAGAAACUGUACCAUGUACUGGAUGCUGAUUCAAAGCAUAUAGCACCUUCUAGAGAAACCUGCCUCAGCCCUCCAUGCUGCUGCCAUCUAAUUGACACUGCAACUAUUUCUACAAAAGACCAUCCCAUCUUUCAUCAGGCCAGCUCCCUCGGGAUAGUGGAGAACAGGACUCCAGGGAGCUCAUUCAAGUUCAUCUAGAAGACCGUUUUGUGUCUUCCUCCUCCUCUUCAGUGAUCUACAGCUGCCACCACAGCAUGGAGUUCCUGUCCUCUGAGCCGAGCGCCCGUGGCUGUUGCCCCAUGGCCAUAUUGGACUAUCCAUUGUCUAUCCCUGCCACGAUGCUCACCCGCCACCCAGAUCUGGGUUCCCAGGGGCCCUAUCUGUGCUUAUUUCUCUUCUAGAAAUGGCCCUCUGCUCUACAGCCCUCCUCCUCAAAGCCCCAGCCCUGAGUCUUCUUUGUGCCCUGAACAGAAGCAGCCCUGUGGUAUUCUGUGGCCCCCACCCCCCACAGCACUUGGUGUCUCGCUUCUGGCUCUUGCCUCUCCGGCAGGUAUAGCUGCAGCCAACUGUGUACUGUGUUGCUUCCCUCUAGACUGUGAGCUCCUCGCGGGCAGGGACCAUAUGGUCACUCUGUAUCUCUUGUGGCACCUAACAGUGCCUUCCUUGCACUUGGUAGGUGCUCAAUACAUGUCUGUUCAAGUGAA
Long non-coding RNA from Arvicola amphibius (Eurasian water vole), 1134 nucleotides. RefSeq lists it as uncharacterized. NCBI's taxonomy places the organism in Eukaryota, Metazoa, Chordata, Mammalia, Rodentia, Cricetidae. The transcript is spliced from 2 exons. The record is from RefSeq and is a predicted model, not a curated record.